Molecule: ribosomal RNA, 301 nt
Filed under: uncultured bacterium
Lineage: Bacteria
Description: partial 16S ribosomal RNA
Rfam family: Bacterial small subunit ribosomal RNA
Source: RNAcentral
CAGCCGCCGCGGUAAUACGGAGGAUCCAAGCGUUAUCCGGAAUCAUUGGGUUUAAAGGGUCCGUAGGCGGUCUUGUAAGUCAGUGGUGAAAGCCCAUCGCUCAACGGUGGAACGGCCAUUGAUACUGCAGGACUUGAAUUAUUGGGAAGUAACUAGAAUAUGUAGUGUAGCGGUGAAAUGCUUAGAGAUUACAUGGAAUACCAAUUGCGAAGGCAGGUUACUACCAAUUGAUUGACGCUGAUGGACGAAAGCGUGGGUAGCGAACAGGAUUAGAUACCCGUGUAGUCCCUGUCUCUUAUAA